AUUGAACGCUGGCGGCAGGCCUAACACAUGCAAGUCGAACGAGUGGCGGACGGGUGAGUAAUGUCUGGGAAACUGCCCGCUGGAGGGGGAUAACUACUUGAAACGGUAGCUAAUACCGCAUACCAUCCGAUGUGCCCAGAUGGUAUUAGCUUGUAGGUUAGGUAACGGAUCACCUAGGCGACGAUACCUAGCUGGUCGGAGAGGAUGACCAGCGACCCUGGAACUAGGACAUGGUGCGGAGUGAUCCGGGAGGCAGCAGGGGGGAAUAUUGCACAAUGGUCGGAAGCCUGAUGCAACCAUGCCGCGUGUAUGAAGAGGGCCUUAGAGUUGUAAAGUACUUUAAGCGGGGAGGCGUUACCAACAGAAGAAGCACCGGCUAACUCCGUGCCAGCGGCCGCGGUGGUUC
RNAcentral lists this ribosomal RNA (406 nucleotides) under uncultured bacterium. RNAcentral describes it as "partial 16S ribosomal RNA". It matches the Rfam family "Bacterial small subunit ribosomal RNA", at positions 30 to 526 of the family's 1533-position model. The record is from RNAcentral.